UGCUUGGUGUUGGACGGCCGGUCGAGGACUCCCUCGCACCCCUCCUAACUUUAAUGACGGCGGCCUGUGGUUCCCCCGGUACAAUGAGCUUCUCACCGAGCACGUGCCGGACAAGGCGCCCAGGACCCGGUCUUCUCCUCUCACGAGGAAAUUUUUACAAGGUUGACCUCGGAUCAGGUAGGAAUACGCGCUGAACUUAA
RNAcentral lists this unclassified non-coding RNA (200 nucleotides) under soil metagenome. RNAcentral describes it as "partial contains internal transcribed spacer 2 and large subunit ribosomal RNA". The record is from RNAcentral.